RNAcentral lists this ribosomal RNA (1032 nucleotides) under Triticum aestivum (bread wheat). Its description in RNAcentral is "partial small subunit ribosomal RNA". Lineage: Eukaryota; Viridiplantae; Streptophyta; Magnoliopsida; Poales; Poaceae. The record is from RNAcentral.
AUGAAGCUCCAGAUCAUUCCGGUGACGGCCAGCGGAGCUGCGCCCGAUCCCUUCGAGCUCGAGAUCAGCGAGGCCUCCCAGGUUGGGCAACUGAAACAGUCCAUUGAAGCGAUGAUGGGGAACCAGUUGUGGAAAGUGUCAACGAUGGGGAUCUUUCACAGGGAUAGGGAGCUUCAGGAUACUUCAACCUUACUUGAGUAUGCCAUCAAUGAAAUGGAUCCGGUCACUGUAGUUUCGUGUGAGGUCAACAAUCGGGUGAACUUUCCUACUGGUGAUGAAGAUCUGUUUGCCAACGUUGAUCCAUCCACUGAUGUGUUCUUCACCAUUGAUGAGCUACUGGGGCUACAGAAUGAAGCACUUGAUGUUAAGAUGAUAUUGCCCUACAAUUUUCAAGCAACUACUGAAUUGCACAACUUCACGACUCACCACAUUAAAACUGCUGGCCAAUUGCGGGACAAAGUUGAUAAUAGCCCACCAAGUUGGCUUUCGAAGCCUGAGGCAUUCGCAAUCCUAUCAAAUGCUAAUACGUUUGUUGCUGAGAAUGUUCAUGAGUAUGACAACCGGAGGAAUGGUGGUGUUGCUCUGGUGAGAUCAGCUAAUUAUGGAGAGUUCCUCCGCCAAGGUCCGGGCUAUAAGCAUUCUCUUCAAGAAACUACGAGGACUGUCACGAUAGAGAAACCUGCUGCAAAAUGGAAGAUAGCAGGAGAGAUCUUUAUGGACCGUUACGAGAUUAUGGGCGAUCUUUGGAACCGCAGGCGUGUUCACCUGGCAAAUGAUGAUACUUUUAGUUUGAUUCAAUGGAUGACAGCAAACCCUAAGCAAAAGGAUACCAUGAAAGAAGAACUUUCUAAUGUUGUGAAAGCAGUGAGUGAGAUGACAGGUCAACUGAAUGCUGUUGCGGGCGAUGUAACCUGUCUGAAAAGCGGGCUUACGGACGUCAAGACUGAUCUAACAUCAAUGAAGCAGAGUCUAACGGACAUCCAGAUGAGUCUUGCUGCUCUUGUGCACCGGCUUCCUCCUCAAGGUUCUUGA